UACGUAGGUGACCAGCGUUGUCCGGAUUUACUGGGCGUAAAGAGCGCGCAGGCGGUCGUUCAAGUCGAGUGUGAAAGCCCUCGGCUCAACCGAGGAAGUGCAUUCGAAACUACUGGGCUUGAAUACUGGAGAGGAUCGCGGAAUUCCCGGUGUAGAGGUGAAAUUCGUAGAUAUCGGGAGGAACACCAGUGGCGAAGGCGGCGAUCUGGACAGAUAUUGACGCUGAGGUGCGAAAGCGUGGGGAGCAAACAGG
This 253-nucleotide ribosomal RNA is filed under the name uncultured bacterium. Its description in RNAcentral is "partial 16S ribosomal RNA". It matches the Rfam family "Bacterial small subunit ribosomal RNA", at positions 524 to 776 of the family's 1533-position model. The record is from RNAcentral.